This 461-nucleotide ribosomal RNA is filed under the name Streptococcus mitis. RNAcentral describes it as "bacterial SSU rRNA". It matches the Rfam family "Bacterial small subunit ribosomal RNA", at positions 28 to 473 of the family's 1533-position model. Lineage: Bacteria; Bacillati; Bacillota; Bacilli; Lactobacillales; Streptococcaceae. The record is from RNAcentral.
GACGAACGCUGGCGGCGUGCCUAAUACAUGCAAGUAGAACGCUGAAGGAGGAGCUUGCUUCUCUGGAUGAGUUGCGAACGGGUGAGUAACGCGUAGGUAACCUGCCUGGUAGCGGGGGAUAACUAUUGGAAACGAUAGCUAAUACCGCAUAAUAGCAGUUAUUGCAUGAUAACUGUUUAAAAGGUGCAAUUGCAUCACUACCAGAUGGACCUGCGCUGUAUUAGCUAGUUGGUGGGGUAACGGCUCACCAAGGCGACGAUACAUAGCCGACCUGAGAGGGUGAUCGGCCACACUGGGACUGAGACACGGCCCAGACUCCUACGGGAGGCAGCAGUAGGGAAUCUUCGGCAAUGGACGGAAGUCUGACCGAGCAACGCCGCGUGAGUGAAGAAGGUUUUCGGAUCGUAAAGCUCUGUUGUAAGAGAAGAACGAGUGUGAGAGUGGAAAGUUCACACUGUGAC